This 446-nucleotide ribosomal RNA is filed under the name uncultured bacterium. RNAcentral describes it as "partial 16S ribosomal RNA". It matches the Rfam family "Bacterial small subunit ribosomal RNA", at positions 338 to 795 of the family's 1533-position model. The record is from RNAcentral.
CCUACGGGGGGCUGCAGUUUCGAAUCAUUCACAAUGGGCGAAAGCCUGAUGGUGCGACGCCGCGUGAGGGAUGAAGGCCUUCGGGUUGUAAACCUCUGUCACUGGGGAAGAAACGCUUCAAGUUAUUAGCUUGAAGCCUGACUUAACCCAGAGAGGAAGCAGUGGCUAACUCUGUGCCAGCAGCCGCGGUAAUACAGAGACUGCAAGCGUUAUUCGGAUUCACUGGGCGUAAAGGGUGCUAAGUGUGCCGGCCCGGGGCUUAACCUCGGAAUUGCGCCUAAAACGACACGGCUAGAGCAUGGGAGAGGGUAGCGGAAUUCACGGUGUAGCAGUGAAAUGCGUAGAUAUCGUGAGGAACACCAGAGGCGAAGGCGGCUACCUGGACAAUUGCUGACGCUCAGGCACGAAAGCGUGGGGAGCAAAAGGGAUUAGAUACCCGUGUAGUC